This 1366-nucleotide unclassified non-coding RNA is filed under the name Helianthus nuttallii. RNAcentral describes it as "partial external transcribed spacer". Lineage: Eukaryota; Viridiplantae; Streptophyta; Magnoliopsida; Asterales; Asteraceae. The record is from RNAcentral.
CUUUUUGUGCAUAAUGUAUAUAUAGGGGGGUGGUAGUACUCUUGGGGUAGAGAGGCAUGUGCUGGGAUGGCAUGCCAAGGCAUGUGCUGGGAUGGCAUGCCUUGGUGUGUGCUGGGAUGGCAUGCCAAGGACAAGCAUGUGCUAGGAAGGCAUGCCAAGGCCAAGCCAAGGCCAAGGCAAGCACAUGCAUUGUGAGCUAGUUGAGACGGUUGUCUUUACCCCAAGAGUGCCCAAGGGAGAGGAAAGAGGUGUCAAACGCAUGCUGAGCCCCACUUCGGUAGUUUGGCACCCCCAUAGGCAUUCAGGCAAGCGUGCCUAUGGGUAAAGUCGCUUGAGCUUGCCAACACCCAUGUUAGCUGUUGUCUGGACCGAUGAUGGCACAAGGAUGCUUGCUUUAAGGUAACAUUCCGGCAGCACAGCCAGCCCGCAAUUGCUAGUUCAAGCGGGUGGAAUCUGCCUAUAGGGGUGUUGCUUGCUUGCUGUGGAUUUGGGACACGCCCAAUAUCUAUCAUCGACCCAACGAACUGCUCAACAUGGGUUGCUGAGGGCUAUUUUUGGCACUGAUGGUUCACUUGUUUGCUUGGCUCUGAUAAACGUUCAGAUGUCAUGAUGCUUGGGAUCCAAUAAAUUUAUGUGGGAAGCUGAGAGCUUGAACCCAAUGUCAUUCACCAGACGGCUUAGCUUCGUCAGUGUGUAUAAUAUGUCAUUGAACCCCAAUCCUCGAUGCCAACUUGAUUAAGACUUUUGGAUCGCAAUUAUCAUGGCUAUCGAAAACUGAGUAGGAGUCAUGGAAUAAGUGAACAAUUUGUAGCCUUUAUAGCUGUCAGCUUUCGCAUCGCCCGGUGUGUUUUGGGAAUCGUUUUGUGCAUUUGGUUGCCUGCCGUGCCUCUUGGCAUACGGUGGGUGCCACUUGCCGGGUGGUUUUCGGAAACAUCCACCGUAAAGGUGCAUGAGUGGUGUUUGGUUUGUUACGGGUGGUUGGCUCUUUGCUUGCGCAACAACUUCCACCCGACUUACCUCUUCAGAUGUUUGCCUAGGCUUGUAUAGCCUAAGCAGAUUGUGGGUUUCCUGUGUUGCCUACCUACGUCACGGAAUUGUCUUGAUCGAUCAAAGUUGCUUUCGUCUUGUGUCGUCUUGAUGGCAUAAGAUGAACCAUGAAGCUGUCUCUUUGCACCGCAUCGUUAAUGCAUGCGUUGAUGUUGUGGCCCAUUGAGCAUUGCUUGGUACCUUGGAUACGGAACCUUAUGUGGGCAUGGGUCCUUGGGGAUCCUUGUUCUGCCCUCGUUUAGCGUUCGCGCUUCUCUUAGAAUGACUGCCUAGCUGCAAUGGCAACCCAUUGUGGAUGGGCAUUGUCAAAGAGGAAUGC